UACGAAGGGGGCUAGCGUUGCUCGGAAUCACUGGGCGUAAAGGGUGCGUAGGCGGGUCUUUAAGUCAGGGGUGAAAUCCCAGAGCUCAACUCUGGAACUGCCUUUGAUACUGUCGAUCUGGAGUAUGGAAGAGGUGAGUGGAAUUCCGAGUGUAGAGGUGAAAUUCGUAGAUAUUCGGAGGAACACCAGUGGCGAAGGCGGCUCACUGGUCCAUUACUGACGCUGAGGUGCGAAAGCGUGGGGAGCAAACAGG
RNAcentral lists this ribosomal RNA (253 nucleotides) under uncultured bacterium. RNAcentral describes it as "partial 16S ribosomal RNA". It matches the Rfam family "Bacterial small subunit ribosomal RNA", at positions 524 to 776 of the family's 1533-position model. The record is from RNAcentral.